GAUGAACGCUGGCGGCGUGCCUAAUACAUGCCAGUCGAGCGAACAGACGAGGAGCUUGCUCCUCUGACGUUAGCGGCGGACGGGUUAGUAACACGUGGAUAACCUACCUAUAAGACUGGGAUAACUUCGGGAAACCGGAGCUAAUACCGGAUAAUAUAUUGAACCGCAUGGUUCAAUAGUGAAAGACGGUUUUGCUGUCACUUAUAGAUGGAUCCGCGCCGCAUUAGCUAGUUGGUAAGGUAACGGCUUACCAAGGCAACGAUGCGUAGCCGACCUGAGAGAGUGAUCGGCCACACUGGAACUGAGACACGUUCCAGACUCCUACGGGAGGCAGCAGUAGGGAAUCUUCCGCAAUGGGCGAAAGCCUGACGGAGCAACGCCGCGUGAGUGAUGAAGGUCUUCGGAUCGUAAAACUCUGUUAUUAGGGAAGAACAAAUGUGUAAGUAACUAUGCACGUCUUGACGGUACCUAAUCAGAAAGCCACGGCUAACUACGUG
Molecule: ribosomal RNA, 497 nt
Filed under: uncultured bacterium
Lineage: Bacteria
Description: partial 16S ribosomal RNA
Rfam family: Bacterial small subunit ribosomal RNA
Source: RNAcentral